Molecule: ribosomal RNA, 394 nt
Filed under: uncultured bacterium
Lineage: Bacteria
Description: partial 16S ribosomal RNA
Rfam family: Bacterial small subunit ribosomal RNA
Source: RNAcentral
AUACGUAGGGGGCAAGCGUUGUCCGGAAUUACUGGGCGUAAAGGGCGCGUAGGCGGCGCUUCAAGCCGUCUGUCAAAUGGGAGGGCUUAACCCUUUUUCGCAGACGAAACUGGAGAGCUUGAGAAGCAGAGAGGCAAACAGAAUUCCUGGUGUAGCGGUGAAAUGCGUAGAUAUCAGGAAGAAUACCAGUGGCGAAGGCGGGUUGGUGGCUGCAUACUGACGCUGGAGCGCGAAAGCCAGGGGAGGAAACGGGAUUAGAAACCCCGGUAGUCCUGGCAGGAAACGAUGUAUGCUUGGUGUGAGACUAGCGAUUGUUUCGUGCCGAAGUUAACGCGAUAAGCAAUCCGCCUGGGGAGUACGGUCGCAAGAUUGAAACUUAAAGGAAUUGACGGGG